CGAAAGAAGGCUUCCCAGGCACCCAAGAGUGCAGAGAUGCCUGGGUCUGCAGUCGCAGCUUGGGAGGCUGAAGCUGGACCCAGGAGGGAGGAGCUCCUCCCUGCUCCUGGUCCCCAAGAGCACAGGAAUGCCUGGAUCUGCAGCCGUGGCUGGACAGCCGCAGCUGCGCCUGGGAAGCAGGAGGCUCCUGUCCUGCCAACUCAGAAGUGGACUGGGCUUCUGCUUACUCCUGGCUCCUCCUGGCUCUGUGGAGCUGCAGCCACGGCCAUGCCUCCCCCAUUGCAGCCUCCUUCAUGGCAAUAGCCGCUCCAAAUGGACCACCGCUGCCAUCAAUAUAAUUGCAAUAGAAAUAGCAACACUUUCACCUCCUGAAAAUAAGAAAAAUUAUCACUGGCCUCUGGGUUUCUUUCCUCAAAAUCAACGUUGUGGAACCCA
This 435-nucleotide long non-coding RNA is filed under the name Pan troglodytes (chimpanzee). RNAcentral describes it as "long non-coding RNA NONPTRT004301". The record is from RNAcentral. Lineage: Eukaryota; Metazoa; Chordata; Mammalia; Primates; Hominidae.